GAUGGUGACAAGCUUGUGGCAGCAACUGCACAUCUUGCAAGAAAAUCUUUAGGGUUUUUCAGACCAUACCGAUGAUUUUCUUGCAAGUUGUGCAGUUGUUGUCUCAAGCUUGCUGCCUCC
This is a non-coding RNA of Oryza sativa (Asian cultivated rice), 120 nucleotides long. The record is from Rfam. NCBI's taxonomy places the organism in Eukaryota, Viridiplantae, Streptophyta, Magnoliopsida, Poales, Poaceae.